This is a long non-coding RNA of Leucoraja erinaceus (little skate), 1455 nucleotides long. RefSeq lists it as uncharacterized. NCBI's taxonomy places the organism in Eukaryota, Metazoa, Chordata, Chondrichthyes, Rajiformes, Rajidae. The transcript is spliced from 2 exons. The record is from RefSeq and is a predicted model, not a curated record.
GGUGAAUCAACAGAGGGGAGGGGUUUCUGAAGCCGCCUGCCUCAUGUUACGGAGUGUUGCCUCUCUGAAAGGUAGUCGGCUCUGGAGGAACCCGUGGCCAUUUUUUGUUUGCAACUCGGAAUAAGCAGGAUGUGUGUGUGUGUGUGUGUUUCCUGCCGGGUCGGUCACUAAAUAUCAAAGAUACUAGAGGAGCUCCUCUAGUAUCUUUGCUAAAUAUUACGCCCUGCGUUAGAAACUGUAUCUGCUGUAACGCUGCUCUGCUCACUACUGUAUCCACUUUUGUUUCACGGAAGCACGAUGAUCAUCACUACAGUUCCCAGUCCUCCUUAAUGUCCAUCCGCAUCCUCCGGAGAUGUUGCCUGACCCGUCCAGCCCCUCCAGCACUUUGUAUUUUGCUCAAAAUCGCAGCAUAUGCAGUUCCUCCAGUGUCUCCAGUUCCCGGUUCUGUGCAGCCAAGGUACAGAAGAGUCUGGAGAGGUUCCUUCCUGCACCCUUGUGUGCCCUUCGAGCCUGCACUGCCAGUCAGUAAACAGAAUUCCUAGAAAAGCAAACUCAACGUGGCUCUAUGAAAGCGAAAUCCUGUAUGGCAAUGCAACAAACAGGGCGAGUUUAAAGGGAGUUCAUCAGGACCCAGCGACUAGUCAGCCCAACACUUCAACGUGCUCUGUACCAGAUCUCGUGAUUAUAAUCUUCCCAAUUUACAGGCGUUUCCAAGUUGUGUAUUGCCUAUAGUGAAAAGUCAAUUUAAAAUACUCAUAUAAUUCAUCUGCCGUGCCUGUUUUUCCAUGAAUUCCCCAGACCCAGUCUCUGUUGACUCACAUUGCAACAUCUUUUUAGUCAUCUUUUCCUUUAAGUUUGGUACCUCUAUUGCUAACUGCUUUAGCUAAUUAUGAAUGGAGGGUCCCCCCUCCCCCUAUUUCCUUUCUCGUUGGUAUGUAUCUAUUUUCUGAAAUCUUGAUCAAUUGAUCCCUUGAACUUUCAAGCUGUAAUAGUUGCCCCUAUUUAAUUAUACAACACAAAUCCUGAACUUAUUGGGGUUUUUUUUCUUCUUUCAAGAUGAAUGUUAUGAUUGCUUCACUGCAAACUCACUUGUGAAUCCUAUCAGUUCCAGACCUGCUGCUCCAAGAAAGUAUCCUGUAAACAUCAUCUACUCCUGUGUGAAGAUGUUGACGCACUAGUCCCCAGGUUCAGUAUUGUCACACUGUAAAAAUAAGCGGUCUCCUGCUAAACAUUGUAAAAUUCCACAUGUAACAAAAUUUUAAUUGUUUUUCAAAUCAGAAAUGUUCAAUUGGUAAUACAGGCCAUCAAAAACGUAUAUUUAUUUAGCAUCUUUCAGAACAUUCUGUAGCCAGUACUCUCACCCUGCUUCACUGUGGAGGGCCCAGCAACAGAUUUACACACACAAGGUCCAACAAAGACCGGGGCAGAUUAUCAAUGUACUGAGCAGUAUAAUGC